AGCUUUGCACAGUGGCAGUAUCGUAGCCAAUGAGGUUUAUCCGAGGCGCGAUUAUUGCUAAUUAAAAAGUGAAGUGGAGGGGCGCCUGGGUGGCUCAGUGGGUUAAGCCGCUGCCUUCGGCUUGGGUCAUGAUCUCAGGGUC
Molecule: small nuclear RNA, 142 nt
Organism: Neogale vison (American mink)
Lineage: Eukaryota; Metazoa; Chordata; Mammalia; Carnivora; Mustelidae
Gene: U4
Rfam family: U4 spliceosomal RNA
About the family: U4 small nuclear RNA (U4 snRNA) is a component of the major U2-dependent spliceosome. The structure of U4 snRNA from yeast and human has been reported. U4 snRNA presents a k-turn RNA motif in the 5p-SL related to recognition of Snu13 protein.
Source: Ensembl